UUUUCACCACCUGCGCUUCCUCUUUCCUUCUACUAGAGCGAAAACAAAAAUGGCGGAAUCUUCACAGCCUACUGCCACCCCAGCCAAUCCACCGGAGCAACGCCAAUUGCAAGUAGCCCUACCUGUCCCCGUCCACCAGUUUUCCGGUAACUUUCGCUAUUAUGCUUCUGUUCAAGAAAUAUCUCUGCUCUCUCUCUCUCUCUCUCUCUCUCUCUCGGUAGUGAGAUACCGUAGGCAGGAGAUACGGUUGAGGUGAUUUCUACGAUUAGGGAUUCUACUGCUUUUCCGAACUAUAUCUGCAAAACUAGAGCAACCCUUUAGGUAUUUUUCCGGCCAGGAACAUUGAUUAUGCUGAAUCAAGCUACACUAUUGGAUCAGAGGAUUCUUGAAGUAGUUUUGCAGCUUGAUAUCUUCUAUGUAUAAUAGUAUAAUUACCUUUUAUCUGAACUGUGAUGCAUAAUUAGCUAAUAUGUGCAAGCAAUUGCUUAGGGUGCGGUUUGAAAAUAAAGUUUCUGCACGAUAAUGUCUAGUAGAAGGAUUCCUCAGUCGUUGAUUGUUGUAUGUUCCCAUAGGCGUACUCCUAUGAUAUGAUAUCAUGUAUAAGCUAGCGUAAACGCAAAUUGGUUGUUGCAGUGAUUCUAUUGUAUCUGCAACUGAUGUUGAAAUAUAUUACACUAAUGUUGCCACUGCUCUUAGAGUCUGAGAGUGAUGACUCGGACUCAGACGAAGAAGAAAAUGCUCAAGAACCACUCUGAUUCAGAGGCUAGUGGCAUGACGGUAGAUAGCAGACCUGCUAAGAGGCCGCGUCAUGUGCAAGUUGAGGGUGCUGUGACUAGUAUAAGCAGGGAGCUUUCUGAAUCGGGGCAUUCGAUAGAAACGAUGGUUGGGUUGACACAAUGGUGAACAAGGUGACUGGUGAAGAAGAUGAAGAAAGUGUUAACAUGAGAGCCUCUGUGAUGGACGAUGUGGGGAAGCUACCAGGACUAAGUUGGCGGCAGGUUAUUGAAGGAGCUGCUGCAAUCUCUGUAGCCGAUGAUAACAGGUGGUUGAAGCUCUUUUACAGGUUGAAGAACGACGACGAUCGGUCUUAUUUCGUCAUGAGACUGUUGAAGGAUAAGAUGUGUAGAAGAUGAUGGAAAGCUCACUUUUUGAACAAUGUACAUUUUGUUAGGUAACUACUGUGUAGCUACUAGUGAUAUGCCCAUAUGAAUCCAACAAUUCAAUUUGUUUUAUUAUAUAGAAACUACCAUAUGUAGUUUCAUCAUAGAAAAUACAUCGUAGAACCGUAGUAGUAGUGAA
Molecule: long non-coding RNA, 1299 nt
Filed under: Linum usitatissimum (flax)
Lineage: Eukaryota; Viridiplantae; Streptophyta; Magnoliopsida; Malpighiales; Linaceae
Description: long non-coding RNA (LUSI_LNC002897)
Source: RNAcentral